Molecule: regulatory RNA element, 100 nt
Organism: Boseongicola aestuarii
Lineage: Bacteria; Pseudomonadati; Pseudomonadota; Alphaproteobacteria; Rhodobacterales; Paracoccaceae
Rfam family: Pyrrolysine insertion sequence mttB
Source: Rfam
GCUUCGGACUCGAAACUGCCGGAUAUGCAGGCGGGUUGGGAGCAAAUGUGCUCGAACGUCAUGGCCGGACUUUCCGGGCUGAACAUGGUUUACGAGGCGG